AUUGAACGCUGGCGGCAGGCCUAACACAUGCAAGUCGAGCGAGUGGCGGACGGGUGAGUAAUGUAUGGGGAUCUGCCUGAUAGAGGGGGAUAACUACGGGAAACGGUGGCUAAUACCGCAUACUCUCGGAUGACCCCAUAUGGGAUUAGCUAGUUGGGGGGGUAAAGGCUAACAAAGGCGACGAUCUCUAGCUGGUCUGAGAGGAUGACCAGCCACACUGGGACGGAGAAACGGCCAAGACUCCUACGGGAGGCAGCAGUGGGGAAUAUUGGGCAAUGGGCGAAAGCCUGAUGGAGCAAGGCCGCGUGGAUGAAGAAGGUUUUCGGAGUGUAAAGCACUUUCUUUGGGGAGGCGUUAGCUGACGAGGAAGCCCCGGCUAACUCCGUGCCAGCAGCCGCGGUAAUUC
This 406-nucleotide ribosomal RNA is filed under the name uncultured bacterium. Its description in RNAcentral is "partial 16S ribosomal RNA". It matches the Rfam family "Bacterial small subunit ribosomal RNA", at positions 29 to 526 of the family's 1533-position model. The record is from RNAcentral.